This 104-nucleotide small nuclear RNA is filed under the name Cercocebus atys (sooty mangabey). Lineage: Eukaryota; Metazoa; Chordata; Mammalia; Primates; Cercopithecidae. The record is from RNAcentral.
GUGCCAGCUUUGACAGCAUAUACACUAAAGUUAGAAUGACACAGAGAUCAGCAUGGCCUCUGCAAAAGGAUGAGAUGUAAUUUUGUGAAGCAUUCUAAUAUUUU